UGUAUUUUCACUUGAUUUAUUUUUAUUAUUUGUUUAAUUACAAUUUGAAUUUAUCGGAAGAGGGUAUUAGAAUUCCUGACUUGAAAUUUCAGGUUAAUCAUUUUAUGGUGCCAAAAUUUAAUAGAUUUAAUAUAACUAUUCAUUCUUUUCCAACACGUUUAUACCUUAGUAGAUAUAUUCAUGCCGUCAGGGCCGGCGCAAAGCAGGUUCAGCGCAUUCGCCAGAACCCGGCCCCGCGUUUUGAGAGGCCCCGUGGUCUACGAAAAUUACCCAAUUAAAAAACACUGAUUUUGAUUAACUUUUUACAGAAUGAUGAUACCAUUAACAGAUGCAAGACAUUUUUUUAGUAGCGAUGAUUUGGUUUAAAGGAGUGACAAAAAUCAUCAAAGUUCAGUGUAACUCCAUAAAGUCCUCAUAUCCUGGAAAGUACUUUAGAUAAAAAAAUCCAGACGCUUUCAGAGAAAUGUACUUUUUAGAGAAAUUAAACUACAUCAAUAGUUUUUUGCAAAAGUCAUACAUGAUUACAGUUUUUUGGACUAUAUCUAGAAACUCAGCAAUUU
This 560-nucleotide long non-coding RNA is filed under the name Androctonus crassicauda. The record is from RNAcentral. Lineage: Eukaryota; Metazoa; Arthropoda; Arachnida; Scorpiones; Buthidae.